Molecule: ribosomal RNA, 253 nt
Filed under: uncultured bacterium
Lineage: Bacteria
Description: partial 16S ribosomal RNA
Rfam family: Bacterial small subunit ribosomal RNA
Source: RNAcentral
UACAGAGGUCCCGAGCGUUGUUCGGAUUCACUGGGCGUAAAGGGUGCGUAGGUGGUUGGGUAAGUCUGAUGUGAAAUCUCCGGGCUCAACCCGGAAAUGGCAUUGGAUACUAUUCGGCUAGAGGUUUGGAGAGGGGACUGGAAUUCUCGGUGUAGCAGUGAAAUGCGUAGAUAUCGAGAGGAACACCAGUGGCGAAGGCGAGUCCCUGGACAACACCUGACACUGAGGCACGAAAGCUAGGGGAGCAAACAGG